Molecule: small RNA, 559 nt
Filed under: Serratia plymuthica
Lineage: Bacteria; Pseudomonadati; Pseudomonadota; Gammaproteobacteria; Enterobacterales; Yersiniaceae
Source: RNAcentral
CCGUAUCUAGCCUCACUCGUGUGAGAUAUCUCGCACACGGGCUGUGAGAGAUCGCUUUUAAUUUUUUGUGCUCUGCGAUCUGGAUUGUCUUUAUUGUUAUCCAGAUCAAUUGGUUAGAUUUUCUUUAGGAUAACUCUUAGUGUUAAUUUAGCCUGAUCCUUAUGCUAAUCCCUUGUGAAGCCGAGAUAAUUAAGCGAUCUUAUGGUUACCGGAACGGAUACGGUGGAGCAGGAAAGCAUCAGGAUGAUGCAGCUUCAGGAAGAGGAAAUGGAUGCGCUCAGUGAAGAGCGAAGGACGGCGUCAGGAGAUGCCAAGGAUGUUUCAGGAUUGAAACCAGGGACACCUCCAGGAUGGAGAUUGAGAGCCGGCAAAGGAGGGUUGGCGGGUCAUGAAGACUAAGGAACCGCGUCAGGACGAUGCUACAGGAUAGAGCAAGGACGGUUGGGUCAGGAUGGCCGCAGGAAAAGUUUUCAAGGAUUGAGCAGGGAGCACACAGUGUAGCGGGACAGCUAUAAAACGAACCGGGGGCACUGUUAACGCAGUGCCCCCAACUUUUUAU